Molecule: ribosomal RNA, 163 nt
Filed under: Henckelia floccosa
Lineage: Eukaryota; Viridiplantae; Streptophyta; Magnoliopsida; Lamiales; Gesneriaceae
Description: 5.8S ribosomal RNA
Rfam family: 5.8S ribosomal RNA
About the family: 5.8S ribosomal RNA (5.8S rRNA) is a component of the large subunit of the eukaryotic ribosome.
Source: RNAcentral
GUAACGACUCUCGGCAACGGAUAUCUCGGCUCUCGCAUCGAUGAAGAACGUAGCGAAAUGCGAUACUUGGUGUGAAUUGCAGAAUCACGUGAACCAUCGAGUCUUUGAACGCAAGUUGCGCCCGAAGCCAUCAGGUUGAGGGCACGUCUGCCUGGGCGUCACG